This 515-nucleotide small RNA is filed under the name uncultured Glomus. RNAcentral describes it as "SSU rRNA". It matches the Rfam family "Eukaryotic small subunit ribosomal RNA", at positions 569 to 1089 of the family's 1831-position model. The record is from RNAcentral. Lineage: Eukaryota; Fungi; Glomeromycota; Glomeromycetes; Glomerales; Glomeraceae.
AGCAGCCGCGGUAAUUCCAGCUCCAAUAGCGUAUAUUAAAGUUGUUGCAGUUAAAAAGCUCGUAGUUGAAUUUCGGGGUUAGUAGGUUGGUCAUGCCUCUGGUAUGUACUGGUCUCACUGAUUCCUCUUUCCUGAUGAACCGUAAUGCCAUUAAUUUGGUGUGGCGGGGAAUCAGGACUGUUACUUUGAAAAAUUAGAGUGUUUAAAGCAGGCUCGCGCUUGAAUACAUUAGCAUGGAAUAAUGAAAUAGGACGUUCGAUCCUAUUUUGUUGGUUUCUAGGAUUGACGUAAUGAUUAAUAGGGAUAGUUGGGGGCAUUAGUAUUCAAUUGUCAGAGGUGAAAUUCUUGGAUUUAUUGAAGACUAACUACUGCGAAAGCAUUUGCCAAGGAUGUUUUCAUUAAUCAAGAACGAAAGUUAGGGGAUCGAAGACGAUCAGAUACCGUCGUAGUCUUAACCAUAAACUAUGCCGACUAGGGAUCGGAUGAUGUUAUUUUAAUGACUCAUUCGGCUACCG